GGCGCCGUGGCUUAAGUUGGUUAAAGCGCCUGUCUAGUAAACAGGAGAUCACGAGUUCGAAUCUCGUCGGUGCCU
RNAcentral lists this transfer RNA (75 nucleotides) under Trichonephila inaurata madagascariensis. It matches the Rfam family "tRNA". Rfam says of the family: Transfer RNA (tRNA) molecules are approximately 80 nucleotides in length. Their secondary structure includes four short double-helical elements and three loops (D, anti-codon, and T loops). Lineage: Eukaryota; Metazoa; Arthropoda; Arachnida; Araneae; Nephilidae. The record is from Rfam by way of RNAcentral.